RNAcentral lists this ribosomal RNA (441 nucleotides) under uncultured bacterium. RNAcentral describes it as "partial 16S ribosomal RNA". It matches the Rfam family "Bacterial small subunit ribosomal RNA", at positions 338 to 795 of the family's 1533-position model. The record is from RNAcentral.
CCUACGGGAGGCAGCAGUCGGGAAUAUUGCGCAAUGGAGGAAACUCUGACGCAGUGACGCCGCGUAUAGGAAGAAGGUCCUCGGAUUGUAAACCAUCGUCGUUAGGGAAGCAAAAGAACAGUACCUAAGGAGGAAGCUCCUGCUAACUACGAGCCAGCAGCCGCGGUAAUACGGAGGGAGCAAGAGUUUUCCGGAGUUACUGGGUGUAAAGGGUGGGUAGAGGGGAAUUUAAGUUAGUCGUGAAAUCCCUCGGCUCAACUGAGGAACUGCACCUAAAACUGGAUUUCUUGAGUGCUGGAGAGGAAAGCGGAAUGCGUGGUGUAGCGGUGAAAUGCGUAGAUAUUAGGAGGAACACCAGUGGCGAAGGCAGCUUUCUGGACAGUAACUGACGUUGAGGCACGAAAGUGUGGGGAGCAAACAGGAUUAGAUACCCCUGUAGUC